GCAUCAGUGUGGCGUAGUGGUAAGGUGCAGGACUCGUAAUUGACAGGUUGCGGGUUCGAUUCCCUGCUGGGGCG
This is a non-coding RNA of Megalops atlanticus (tarpon), 74 nucleotides long. The record is from the annotation of a GenBank genome assembly. NCBI's taxonomy places the organism in Eukaryota, Metazoa, Chordata, Actinopteri, Elopiformes, Megalopidae.